RNAcentral lists this unclassified non-coding RNA (417 nucleotides) under soil metagenome. RNAcentral's name for it is "partial contains 5.8S ribosomal RNA, internal transcribed spacer 2, and large subunit ribosomal RNA". The stretch from base 1 to 120 matches the Rfam family "5.8S ribosomal RNA", at positions 35 to 154 of the family's 154-position model. The record is from RNAcentral.
GAUGAAGAACGUAGCGAAAUGCGAUACGUAAUGUGAAUUGCAGAAUUCAGUGAAUCAUCGAAUCUUUGAACGCACAUUGCGCUCUCUGGUAUUCCGGAGAGCAUGCUUGUUUGAGUAUCAGUAAACACCUCAACUCCUUUAUUGUAGUUGGACUUGAGCUAUCCCAACAGGACUUUUUGUUCCUGGCGGGAGGCUUGAAAUGCAGGUGCAGCUGGACUUUCUUCUGAGCUAUAAGCAUAUUUAUUUAAUCCCUUAACACGGAUUAUUACUUUUUUGCUGCAGCUAACAUAAAGGUUGAAUUUCCAUUGAGCUGACUGAUGCAGGAAUUUGGCAAGGAAUUUUUUUAAUGACUUGUUAAACUCGAUCUCAAAUCAAGUAAGACUACCCGCUGAACUUAAGCAUAUCAUAAGCGGAGGA